This 472-nucleotide ribosomal RNA is filed under the name Streptococcus anginosus. RNAcentral's name for it is "bacterial SSU rRNA". It matches the Rfam family "Bacterial small subunit ribosomal RNA", at positions 28 to 474 of the family's 1533-position model. The record is from RNAcentral. Lineage: Bacteria; Bacillati; Bacillota; Bacilli; Lactobacillales; Streptococcaceae.
GACGAACGCUGGCGGCGUGCCUAAUACAUGCAAGUAGGACGCACAGUUUAUACCGUAGCUUGCUACACCAUAGACUGUGAGUUGCGAACGGGUGAGUAACGCGUAGGUAACCUGCCUAUUAGAGGGGGAUAACUAUUGGAAACGAUAGCUAAUACCGCAUAACAGUAUGUAACACAUGUUAGAUGCUUGAAAGAUGCAAUUGCAUCGCUAGUAGAUGGACCUGCGUUGUAUUAGCUAGUAGGUAGGGUAAAGGCCUACCUAGGCAACGAUACAUAGCCGACCUGAGAGGGUGAUCGGCCACACUGGGACUGAGACACGGCCCAGACUCCUACGGGAGGCAGCAGUAGGGAAUCUUCGGCAAUGGGGGGAACCCUGACCGAGCAACGCCGCGUGAGUGAAGAAGGUUUUCGGAUCGUAAAGCUCUGUUGUUAAGGAAGAACGAGUGUGAGAAUGGAAAGUUCAUACUGUGACG